This 114-nucleotide ribosomal RNA is filed under the name Candidatus Terrarchaeum hikurangii. The record is from RNAcentral. Lineage: Archaea; Nanobdellati; Candidatus Terrarchaeota; Candidatus Terrarchaeia; Candidatus Terrarchaeales; Candidatus Terrarchaeaceae.
GUUGGCGGUCAUAGCAGAGGGGAACACCUGUACCCAUCUCGAACACAGAAGUUAAGCCCUCUAGCGAAUUGAGUUGUACUGUCUUUCGACGGGAAGCUUAGGACGCUGCCACUC